Molecule: non-coding RNA, 3501 nt
Organism: Aegilops tauschii subsp. strangulata
Lineage: Eukaryota; Viridiplantae; Streptophyta; Magnoliopsida; Poales; Poaceae
Source: RefSeq, a predicted model, not a curated record
AGUGCGCCGCCACCAACACACGCCCCACGCCUCACCUCUCAUGGCGCCCGAAGCCAUGUCCCGUCACCGCCACCAUGCGCCUCACUUCCUGUACUUUUUUCCAUUCCUUUGCUCUGCUCUCCUCCAGUCCGAACACAACCUUAGGCUGCGUUCGGUGCACGGGAUUUUCACAGGAUUUCUGCAGACCUAGUUUCCACGGGAAUAAAUUCCAGGAAGCCCGUUCGCUUCGCAGGAAGUAGUUUGUCUGUUCCACAGGAAAGCGUCACUAACCUAUACUUUUCACAGGAAAAAUAACAUCUACUCGUACCAAGGGAACGCGCGGUGAAAAUCCUCCUCUCGCUCCAUCACUCUCCCGCCCCAUCCCGCGCCCUUCUCGCGCGAAAUCGAGAUGGAUGACCACCGGCGCAGCAUGCCCAACCGGCGGAUCCGAGCACCUACUCCUCCUCCUCCACCUCCUCCACCUCAUCCGCCCCCUCCCUGUGACCUUCGAGCUCCACCCCCUGUUCCAUCGACACAAGGGUUGGAAGAUCUGAAAUUUGGGGGAAGUGAGGAGAUCUUGCAAGAAAUAGGCACCAACAAAAAUUGUGCUAGAGCUAGCUGGAAUCACAAAAUGAAGUCAUAUCUUAUUUGGCUCUUGAAAGAACAUGAUGUCCCAAGAUAUCGAACACAAAAUGCAUGGAGCAAAGAGGCUUGGAGAAGUAUUGUGAAAGCAUUCAAUAUAAAGUUUGGUUUAUCACUCACAGUAACUCAGAUCAAACAAAAGGAGCAGGAUCUGAAGAAAGAUUUUAAAGCUAUACAAGACUUGAUAUCUGAAAGUGGUUUUGGUUGGGAUCGUGAUAGAAUGAUGGUGGUUGCUCCGGACAGUGUUUGGGAAGCAUUAAAGGCCCGUAAGAAGAAAGAUGCCCUCUGAUGGCAAGACAAGUCAUACCCAUACUAUAAUGAUCUAUUUGCUCUAUAUGAUGGGCGCUACGCUCAAGGAAGGAGUUGUCGUGGCAUGGAUUAUUGUCCAAACAAGGCCACAGAACUCUCUCAGGUCACUACAUCAUAUUCGCAACAGUUGGAAGGUCCCGAGGAGCAUCAUCGCUCACCUACACCGAACUUACCUGCUCCUGGGGAAUCGUGCAUGCAUAUUGAUAUUGAAGAGGACAAUGGAAGCACUAAUUGGUUCUGCACCGAUGAUCCAUUAGACCUAGAAGCUGUGAACUCAACUCAAGUGAAAGAUUCUGCAUUACAUGUUCAAUCACAAGAUGCACUACCAACACCAUUUUCUUCAAAACAAGCCCCACAUAUGUCGAUGGAAAUUCCAAAAGACAUACGUAGAAAUUGUCAACCGUCUCAUUCUGUUCCUGAGCUUACUAGUGCUAAGAGGGGGGAAAGACAGAAGACUAAUUCUAGUAUUGAUGAUUUCCACGAGAGGUACCUGAGCCUGAAAAGAGAAGAGAUGGAACGGUUUGCAGCCAUCGAGGAGAGGAAAUUGGAGGAUCCCUAUAGCAUACAAAAAUGCAUUGCUGCAUUUGAGGGGUUGCCGGAUUUACAAAUGGGAGUUAUACUAAAAGCAGUUGACCUCUUCACCAACAACAAGGAAAACAGGGAAGUAUUCCUCUCAUUUUCAAUUGAUGCAUUACGUCUGGGUUGGUUAAGAAAUAAAAUUCAAAACACCUAGUGUACUAGCUAUGGGAAUAUGCUCCUUGGAGAAUGCUUUUGUAUGUUGCUGUAGGCACUUGUACUACUGAGUUAAUGGUACCAAAUUAUCAUGUAGUGCUAAGGUAAUAGGCUAGGAAAGUGUACGUGACUUUUGUGUAUGUGUUCCUGGUCAGAUGUGCUAGUACUAAUGCAAUGUUAAAUGAUACUUGAUCACAAAUCCUUUUGAUUGGCUAGAAUUACUUGCAGUACAAACCAAAUUGUUUUACAUUUAUUACAUAUGGUUCAUCGCCUUGCAUUGUAGUCAGCCCACAUUGCAUUUGGCAUUGCAUCUCGCAUGUCAUUCCCUGCUUGCCUCAUGCUGUCAAAUAAUGGCACAUCAACAUUGUAUUUGGUAUCUCCAUCUGGUACAUCUUCCAUAUUGCUUUCAUUUAUAUCUUCAGUACAUCUGCCCGGCAAUGACAUGUCACCAUCAUGUAGCCGUAUGAAAUUGUGCAUCACACAACAAGCCAUAGAAAUAUCAACCUGAGUGUCAAUAUCAUAAGACGUAGCAGCCUUUAGUAUGGGAUACCUCUUUUUUAAUAUACCGAUAAUUCUCUCAACAUGAUUCCGAAGCUGAGCAUGGCGGAGGUUGAACAAUUCUUUGGCAGAUUGUGGCCUUUGAUGGACUCUUCCCUGUUCUUGCAAAUGAUACCUUGUGCCCCUAUAUGGAGCAAUGAAUUGAGGUGUGUUUGCAUAACCCGCAUCUACAAGAUAGAAUUUACCAGGGGGUACACUAAAACCAUGCUUAAGUGAGUCUUGUAGAACUCUUGCAUCCGAAGCAGACCCCUCCCAACCAGGAUGUACAUGCACGAACUUUAGAUCAAAGUCACAUGCGACCAUGCAAUUUUGUGAAAGGCCUUGUUUUCUGUUUCUAUAUGGAUCUUGCUGCCCAGGUGGAAUGGUCAUGGGAAAGUGAGUGCCAUCAAUAGCUCCAAGACAAUUCUGUAAAUUUCAUGCUACAGUUAGAGAUAUGCAAACAUCAAAUUUGCCUAGUAUGAAUUUACCAUGUCAAAAUAGAACAUAAGUAGUAACUGAAAGUAUGCAAAUUUUCGUUGCCUUAAGAUGUGAUGUGGGUGUAGGGACGGCAAGCGUAUGUAGUUGCAUGAUAGUGAUGUAAUCGCAUUGAGCACAACUCGAAAAUAGUAACUAACCGUUGAUCCGCUGUGUUGAAAUAUAUCUUGCACUGUCCGAUUGCUUGCAUUUUUUUGAUAUUGUGUAUAGAAAUAUAGCUACUUGCUCUUCCACGAAUACAUAUGUUCCGUCUUCAAGUCUGCACUUCUCACACAAUUUUUUAACUAAGGCUUGAAAGAUCUCUCUCUCCAUGUGGAAUCGUCUGUGGCACAAGACCUCAUGGCCGUGCCUCCUCCCGUCAGGAGCAGCUUGAACCGAUGCCUCCCUGAAGCCAGAGUGUGAAUUUUUGUGUGCACUGGAUACGCCAAGACCCCGACCGACAAGUACCACGACGUCCGUCGAUCGCCAAGUACCCCUACGCGUGGAUACGCCAAGUUCCUCUUCGACCCGUGUACCACUACCGUCGCCGAAGAACCGUGUAAUGAACUGUCAAGUUCGACUACCUUCGUGUGUACCACUACUUCCCACGACGACCCGUGAACGACUACUUCCUCGACUAUUUUGAACCGCCCCGAAAUGCACGCUUUGAAGAUGGUUCCGGUAACGUUGCGAUUGUGCGGAUCUGUUCGACUACGUUGGUUCGUCUACUUCAUGGAUUCCGUCUUCUUCCUAGCAGGAUUUCAGGCAAGAUGACCAUCACCUUGGAUACCAUUACUAUCUUUGUUAUGCUAAUUGUCUCGAUGCUAU